AAUGGGGGAAACCCUGACCGAGCAACGCCGCGUGAGUGAUGAAGGUCUUCGGAUUGUAAAGCUCUGUUGUCAGGGACGAACGGUAUUCCUAGGAAAUGAGGAGUAUUUGACAGUACCUGGCCAGAAAGCCACGGCUAACUACGUGCCAGCAGCCGCGGUAAUACGUAGGUGGCAAGCGUUAUCCGGAAUUAUUGGGCGUAAAGAGUGAGCAGGCGGCAGUUUAAGUCUGAAGUGAAAGCGUGAAGCUCAACUUCAUACAGCUUCAGAAACUGAACAGCUAGAGUACGGGAGAAGUAAGUGGAACUCCAUGUGUAGCGGUGAAAUGCGUAGAUAUAUGGAAGAACACCAGUGGCGAAGGCGACUUACUAGCCCGAGACUGACGCUCAGUCACGAAAGCGUGGGUAGCAAA
Molecule: ribosomal RNA, 409 nt
Filed under: uncultured bacterium
Lineage: Bacteria
Description: bacterial SSU rRNA
Rfam family: Bacterial small subunit ribosomal RNA
Source: RNAcentral